UGGCUCCCUUGAGCGGUGUCACCCGACAGAUUGCAGUAUGAUUGUCAUUGCUGUGUUGAAGUUACCCACCCUGAACUCAUGCUGGGUAUCCUCAGUCAGGGCAUCGUUCUGUUUGUUUCUACUUUGUGCACAUAACUGGUACCUUUUCUUUUCCCUGCCCUGUCUCGUCACUUAUAAUAUAAAGGGAGUUAAUCCAGCCACUUGUAUAUCCUGAGUCCUUUUUGUGUAUCCAGCACUUUGUAAAUUUACUAUAGGCAUUCAUUCAUCCUCUUCCUCAUUCAAUCCACAAAUAUUGAAUAUCCACAACUGGCAGGAUAACAGCCAGUUGCUUUGAACAAAGAGUUUCUUUCUAAGCCCAUGAAUGUGACUAUGCCUAGCACAGUGCCUGGCACACUGAGGUGCCCAGUGCAUUUAUAAAAAGCAACUCUCAGGGUUCUUGACGGAGCUGUGUCAUACUGAAGCCCCCUGGCCUAGAUAGAUUCGCCUGGAUGAAACACUUCCCUGCCUUCUUAAACAGAAUGCAUUGAAUUUACUUUCAUCUUUUCCUGAUGCCUCCAAGCCAUCAUUUUGAACAUCAGUGCUGCAGUAGGAUGAUGUGUUGCUUCUGUUUUAUUGAGGUAUACCAGUUCUUUGCCCUUAACGUUAAAUCAGCCUGAGUGUUGUCUUUGUGAGCCCUUGUGUUUGAUUUCUGUAGUUUGCCUCCUUCCCAGCAGUGAAACUGAGGAUGCUUAUUUUUUAUUCCAUCAGUGAAUCUUUGUGAUAACAAGCAUCUUACAUUUAUUUAGCAGUUUUCAUGUGCAUUAUUUUAUUUAAGCCUUAUAUCAGCUCUGCAAGGCAGAUAGGAUCAUUUCCAAUUUGCUGAUUAAAAGAGAAAAAACAAACAAGCAAGCAACAGACUGAAGCUUUCAAGAGCUCAGCAACCUGCCAAAGAUACAUGGCUAGAAGGAAGACACUGGGAUUCAGGACUGGGUGUCCUGAUUCUAGGCUGGGACUCUUUCUGUGCCAACAUCCUUCUUCCCUUUAGCAACUCCCAACCUUCUUUCUAGUUUGGUACUGGUAAUCUGCCACAAAGCUUGUUAAAAUUGGGCGCAAAAUGACCAGGUGAAGGUUUAAGAGUCUCUCCUUUGGAGACAGUGUUUGAGAUUUAGUGCCUGGGUUUUGUGGCCUCUCUCUAUUUGGCUGUUCACAACCUUUUUCUUCUCUCUGUCUGAAGUGUAAGCAAGGAGGAAGGGUAACAGAUCGAAUUGCCAGAUUUAACAAAAAACAAAACAAAGAAACAACAGAACAAAACCAAACACAAGAUGCCCAGCUGGAUUUGAAUUUCAGAUAGACAACAAAUAAUUUUUUGGGCAUUUGCAUUACAAAUCCA
Molecule: long non-coding RNA, 1369 nt
Filed under: Homo sapiens (human)
Lineage: Eukaryota; Metazoa; Chordata; Mammalia; Primates; Hominidae
Description: HSALNT0366139
Source: RNAcentral